UGGGGAAUAUUGGACAAUGGGGGGAACCCUGAUCCAGCCAUGCCGCGUGUGUGAAGAAGGCCUUAUGGUUGUAAAGCACUUUAAGCGAGGAGGAGGGUACUGGUAUUAAUACUACCAGCUACUGGACGUUACUCGCAGAAUAAGCACCGGCUAACUCUGUGCCAGCAGCCGCGGUAAUACAGAGGGUGCGAGCGUUAAUCGGAUUUACUGGGCGUAAAGCGUGCGUAGGCGGCUAAUUGAGUCGGAUGUGAAAUCCCCGAGCUUAACUUGGCAAUUGCAUUCGAUACUGGUUAGCUAGAGUGUGGGAGAGGAUAGGAGAAUUCCAGGUGUAGCGGUGAAAUGCGUAGAGUUCUGGGGGAAUACCGAUGGCGAAGGCAGCCAUCUGGCCUAACACUGACGCUGAGGUACGAAAGCAUGGGGAGCAAACAGG
This 430-nucleotide ribosomal RNA is filed under the name Pseudomonadota bacterium. Its description in RNAcentral is "Proteobacteria bacterium partial 16S ribosomal RNA". It matches the Rfam family "Bacterial small subunit ribosomal RNA", at positions 355 to 776 of the family's 1533-position model. The record is from RNAcentral. Lineage: Bacteria; Pseudomonadati; Pseudomonadota.